GGGUCAGUAGGUUGGUCGUGCCACCGGUACGUACUGGUCUCGCCGAUUCCUCCUUCCUGAAGAACCGUAAUGCCAUUAAUUUGGUGUUGCGGGGAAACAGGACUGUUACUUUGAAAAAAUUAGAGUGUUUAAAGCAAGCUAACGCUUGAAUACAUUAGCAUGGAAUAAUGAAAUAGGACGAUCGAUCCUAUUUUGUUGGUUUCUAGGAUUGACGUA
RNAcentral lists this ribosomal RNA (216 nucleotides) under Glomeromycotina sp. RNAcentral's name for it is "partial small subunit ribosomal RNA". The stretch from base 46 to 216 matches the Rfam family "Eukaryotic small subunit ribosomal RNA", at positions 692 to 864 of the family's 1831-position model. The record is from RNAcentral. Lineage: Eukaryota; Fungi; Glomeromycota.